AGGACCGAGGAUCCCGGCCCCCCUCUGGCCCCGCCCACGCGUCUUCGCCACGCCUUCUUUCUUGUAGCGUGGCUCCGCCUUUCUCCUCGUGCCCACCUCUCCGCGCAGGCGCGCAGAACCCGGAAGCGGCUCGCCUGGGCGCCGCCAUAUUGUGCCCGCUCCCUUCCGUACGGCCCGGUGGCGGCGGCGGGGCCCGGCCCGGCGGCUCCAGCCAUGUCCGAGACCUACGAUUUCCUCUUCAAGUUCCUCGUGAUAGGGAGUGCCGGCACAGGGAAGUCCUGCCUCCUCCAUCAAUUCAUCGAAAACAAAUUCAAACAAGAUUCAAACCACACGAUCGGGGUGGAAUUCGGCUCUAAGGUUGUCAACGUUGGCGGGAAGACGGUAAAGCUGCAGAUCUGGGACACGGCUGGGCAGGAGAGGUUCAGGUCGGUGACUAGAAGCUACUACCGGGGUGCAGCUGGUGCACUGCUUGUGUACGAUAUCACCAGCCGGGAGACCUACAACGCGCUGACCAACUGGCUGACGGACGCCCGCACCCUCGCUAGCCCCAACAUCGUCAUCAUCCUCUGCGGGAACAAGAAGGAUUUGGAUGCCGACCGGGAGGUGACGUUCCUGGAGGCUUCACGCUUUGCCCAAGAGAACGAGCUCAUGUUCCUGGAGACUAGCGCCCUGACGGGAGAGAACGUGGAAGAAGCCUUCUUAAAAUGUGCAAGGACCAUAUUAAACAAAAUUGAAUCGGGUACGACAGCUCUGAUUUGGCUUUUCCAGGGUGGGGAAGGGAGGUUUUGGGUCCCUAGGGGACCGGGAGAUUUUGGAUUCCAGCAGAAGUUUUAAUCCUUCCCCUUGCUUCCCUCCCGGGCUUUUUCCAUCCGACCCAGGUGAACUUGACCCGGAGAGGAUGGGCUCAGGGAUCCAGUACGGAGACGCUUCCCUUCGCCAGCUGCGGCAGCCCCGGGGAGCUCAGGCGCAGAGCCGGCAGCAGUGCAGUUGCUAAAUGCCUGUGCCCAAGGACCAUGUGCCUCGCUCGCCGAGCCCCCCCAGCUUCCCCAGGAGCGUUCCUCCCCCCCCCCCCCCCCCCCCGCCCCAUACCAUUUGCCCCCUUCUCAUCCCAAGAAGCCCUGGGACUCUCGAGUUUACCUCCGUGGCAAAUGCCUUGUUUUGAUUGUAUUUGACCGAGGUGGCUUCUGGCAAACACUCCUCGCCCACUGCUCGUCGUCCCCCCCCACCGUGGCUGCCGGCCUGGUGGGCUAUGUUGUGUCAUCCCCCCCUCCACACACCCCCCUGAGCAGGUUGGGUUGUAUUCAGCUUGUUUAAAAACAAAACAAAACAGUCCUCUGAGAUGCUACUGGCAACGUUUUGGGGUGCUUGAAUGAAGCGGGGGUCCCCACCUCAUGCAGGGUGGGGGGACAGGCCCCACCCCGCAGUGUGGCCAAGAGGGAUGGCUCGUCCCCAAGUGCUGGGGCAGGGAGGGGUGUCCCUGCCCAGCUUCCUGGGUUUUGCCUUUUUUUUUUUUUUUUUUUUUGUGUGUGUGUGCGUGGUCUCCACUUUGCAUUUCCACUUCCCCCCUGCCACCAUGCGAGAAAAGGUGGAUUGUUUUUUUUUUUUUUGGGGGUGGACACACAUGACAGACACAAUGUUGUCAAACCCUCCACUGUCACUUCAGGGAGGGGGGGAUGGGGACUUCACUUGCCUGUGCUGGAAGCUACUUGCCUGUCCCCAGACCCCCCCCUUGCCUGUCCCCAGACCCCUCCCUGCAGGAUGAGCCCCUCAGGGCUGGGGGGGGGGGUCCCAGGCACCCAUGGGGGCUCUGAUUUCCCCACCCUCCCUCUCUGGGGACAGCAUCUCCCUCCAGCUCCAUCCACCUCCACCCAGGUCCCCGUCCCCCACCCUAGAGUGUGUGUGUGGGGGCGUGCGUUUCUUUUUUGCUUCUCUUUGUGUUAUUUAUUGCACUUGCCAGGGUGGGGGGGUUCCUGGAGGGGCCAGAGCUGUGUCCCAGUUUGUUUUUUGGUUUUUUUUUUCCUCUGGAAAAAGGGGAAAAAAAAAAAAAAAAGCAAAAGAAACACCAAAAAAAGCAAGUUUUCCUCCCCUCCAGGCUGUGAAAAUGUGACUCUCGUACAUAAAGUAUUAAUGUUUUCCAG
This is an RNA transcript of Harpia harpyja (harpy eagle), 2138 nucleotides long. It is a transcript of the gene named RAB4B, member RAS oncogene family, with no coding region annotated. Lineage: Eukaryota; Metazoa; Chordata; Aves; Accipitriformes; Accipitridae. The transcript is spliced from 8 exons. The record is from RefSeq and is a predicted model, not a curated record.